This 253-nucleotide ribosomal RNA is filed under the name uncultured bacterium. RNAcentral describes it as "partial 16S ribosomal RNA". It matches the Rfam family "Bacterial small subunit ribosomal RNA", at positions 524 to 776 of the family's 1533-position model. The record is from RNAcentral.
UACGUAGGGUGCGAGCGUUGUCCGGAUUUAUUGGGCGUAAAGAGCUUGUAGGUGGCUCGUUGCGUCGGGAGUGAAAACCCGCGGCUCAACCGCGGGCCUGCUUCCGAUACGGGCGAGCUAGAGUUCGGCAGGGGAGACUGGAAUUCCUGGUGUAGCGGUGGAAUGCGCAGAUAUCAGGAGGAACACCGGUGGCGAAGGCGGGUCUCUGGGCCGAUACUGACACUGAGAAGCGAAAGCGUGGGGAGCGAACAGG